This 73-nucleotide transfer RNA is filed under the name Candidatus Shapirobacteria bacterium CG10_big_fil_rev_8_21_14_0_10_40_9. RNAcentral describes it as "tRNA-Val". It matches the Rfam family "tRNA". Rfam says of the family: Transfer RNA (tRNA) molecules are approximately 80 nucleotides in length. The record is from RNAcentral. Lineage: Bacteria; Candidatus Shapironibacteriota.
GACCGCUUAGCUCAGUUGGAAGAGCGUUGCGCUUACAUCGCAAAGGUCGGGGGUUCGAAGCCUCCAGCGGUCA